UGGGCGACUAGAGUGUGGUAGAGGGUAGUGGAAUUCCCGGUGUAGCAGUGAAAUGCGUARAGAUCGGGAGGAACAUCCAUGGCGAAGGCAGCUACCUGGACCAACACUGACACUGAGGCACGAAAGCGUGGGGAGCAAACAGGAUUAGAUACCCUGGUAGUCCACGCCCUAAACGAUGCGAACUGGAUGUUGGGUGCWWUUUGGCWYGCAGUAUCRAAKCUAACGCGUUAAGUUCSCCGCCUGGGGAGUACGGUCGCAAGACUGAAACUCAAAGGAAUUGACGGGGGCCCGCACAAGCGGUGGARUAUGUGGUUUAAUUCKAUGCMACGCGAAGAACCUUACCUGGUCUUGACRUGUCGAGAACUUUCCAGAKAUGGAUUGGUGCCUUCGGGAACUSGAACACAGGUSCUGCAUGGCKGUCGUCAGCUCGUGUCGUGAGAUGUUGGGUUAAGUCCCGCAACGAGCGCAACCCUUGUCCUUAGUUGCCAGCACGUAAUGGUGGGAACUCUAAGGAGACCGCCGGUGACAAACCGGAGGAAGGUGGGGAUGACGUCWAGUCAUCAUGGCCCUUACGACCAGGGCUACACACGUACUACAAUGGUAGGGACAG
This 610-nucleotide ribosomal RNA is filed under the name Stenotrophomonas rhizophila. RNAcentral describes it as "partial 16S ribosomal RNA". It matches the Rfam family "Bacterial small subunit ribosomal RNA", at positions 634 to 1242 of the family's 1533-position model. The record is from RNAcentral. Lineage: Bacteria; Pseudomonadati; Pseudomonadota; Gammaproteobacteria; Lysobacterales; Lysobacteraceae.